ACUACCAGGUAUUCUAGCAAACGGGAUUGUGAUUGACUUGCUGUCUCUUCUUAUAUUUUCAGGUUUAUGUUUCUUCAUAUACCCUAAUGUAUGUUUAUAGAAUGUAAUCAAUAGGCCUUGUGCCUAUAAAACUAUAUAACUUUCAGCAACGGAUCUCUCCGGCUCUCGUUCGAUGAAGAACGCAGCGAAAUGCGAUAAGUAAUGUGAAUUGCAGAAUUCAGUGAAUCAUCGAAUCUUUGAACGCACCUUGCGCUCCUUGGUAUUCCGAGGAGCAUGCCUGUUUGAGUGUCAUUAAUAUAUAUCAACCUGUCUGGUUGGAUGUGGGUUUGCUGGCCUUUUUGGGGUCAGCUCUCCUUAAAUGCAUUAGCGGACAAUAUUUUGUGAACUGUUCAUUGGUGUGAUAAUUAUCUAUGCUAUUCAAUGUGAAGCAAGGUUCAUACCUACUAACAGUCUAUUGACUUGGAGAAUUUAUUUUUAUUAAUGUGACCUCAAAUCAGGAAGGACUACCCGCUGAACUUAAGCAUAUCAAUAAGCGGAGGAAAAGAAACUAACAAGGAUUCCCCUAGUAACAGCGAGUGAAGCGGGAAAAGCUCAAAUUUAAAAUCUGGCAGUCUUUGGCUGUCCGAGUUGUAAUCUAGAGAAGUGUUAUCCGCGCCGGACCGUGUACAAGUCUCCUCCGAAUGGAGCGUCAUAGAGGGUGAGAAUCCCGUCUUUGACACGGACUGCCAGGGCCUUGUGAUGCGCUCUCAAAGAGUCGAGUUGUUUGGGAAUGGGGCUCAAAAUGGGUGGUAAAUUCCAUCUAAAGCUAAAUAUUGGCGAGAGACCGAUAGCGAACAAGUAUGUGAGGGAAAGAUGAAAAGAACUUUGGAAAGAGAGUUAAACAGUACGUGAAAUUUGCUGAUAAGGGAAACCAGCUUGAACUCAGUCGCUGAAACCAGU
RNAcentral lists this ribosomal RNA (939 nucleotides) under Thaxterogaster multiformis. Its description in RNAcentral is "eukaryotic LSU rRNA". The stretch from base 484 to 939 matches the Rfam family "Eukaryotic large subunit ribosomal RNA", at positions 1 to 448 of the family's 3401-position model. The record is from RNAcentral. Lineage: Eukaryota; Fungi; Basidiomycota; Agaricomycetes; Agaricales; Cortinariaceae.